UACGUAGGGUGCGAGCGUUAAUCGGAAUUACUGGGCGUAAAGCGUGCGCAGGCGGUUUUGUAAGCCAGAUGUGAAAUCCCCGGGCUUAACCUGGGAAUGGCAUUUGGGACUGCAAGGCUCGAGUGCGGCAGAGGAGACUGGAAUUCCUGGUGUAGCGGUGAAAUGCGCAGAUAUCAGGAGGAACACCAGCAGCGAAGGCGGGUCUCUGGGCCGUAACUGACGCUGAGGAGCGAAAGCAUGGGGAGCGAACAGG
This 253-nucleotide ribosomal RNA is filed under the name uncultured bacterium. RNAcentral describes it as "partial 16S ribosomal RNA". It matches the Rfam family "Bacterial small subunit ribosomal RNA", at positions 524 to 776 of the family's 1533-position model. The record is from RNAcentral.